Ribosomal RNA from Ochotona princeps (American pika), 111 nucleotides. The record is from Ensembl. NCBI's taxonomy places the organism in Eukaryota, Metazoa, Chordata, Mammalia, Lagomorpha, Ochotonidae.
GUCUAUGGCCAUACCACGCUGAGCACGCCCGAUCUCUUCUGAUCUCAGAAGCUAAGCAGGGUCUGGCCUGGUUAGUACUUGGAUGGGAGAAUUACAGAGAAGUUGUAUGAA